RNAcentral lists this transfer RNA (73 nucleotides) under Felis catus (domestic cat). It matches the Rfam family "tRNA". From Rfam's summary of the family: Transfer RNA (tRNA) molecules are approximately 80 nucleotides in length. Lineage: Eukaryota; Metazoa; Chordata; Mammalia; Carnivora; Felidae. The record is from Rfam by way of RNAcentral.
ACCUGGCUGGCUCAGUCGGUGGAGCGUGCGACUCUUGAUCUCGGGGUUGUGGGUUCAAGCCCCACAUGGGGUG